RNAcentral lists this ribosomal RNA (253 nucleotides) under uncultured bacterium. RNAcentral describes it as "partial 16S ribosomal RNA". It matches the Rfam family "Bacterial small subunit ribosomal RNA", at positions 524 to 776 of the family's 1533-position model. The record is from RNAcentral.
UACGUAGGGUGCAAGCGUUGUCCGGAAUCAUUGGGCGUAAAGCGCGCGUAGGUGGCCAUUUAAGUCCGCUGUGAAAGUCAAAGGCUCAACCUUUGAAAGCCGGUGGAUACUGUGAGGCUAGAGUACGGAAGAGGCGAGUGGAAUUCCUGGUGUAGCGGUGGAAUGCGCAGAUAUCGGGAGGAACACCGGUGGCGAAGGCGGCUCUCUGGGCCUGACCUGACGCUGAGGAGCGAAAGCGUGGGGAGCGAACAGG